Molecule: ribosomal RNA, 447 nt
Filed under: uncultured bacterium
Lineage: Bacteria
Description: partial 16S ribosomal RNA
Rfam family: Bacterial small subunit ribosomal RNA
Source: RNAcentral
AACGAACGCUGGCGGCAGGCUUAACACAUGCAAGUCGAGCGCCCCGCAAGGGGAGCGGCAGACGGGUGAGUAACGCGUGGGAAUCUACCGAGCCCUGCGGAAUAGCUCCGGGAAACUGGAAUUAAUACCGCAUACGCCCUACGGGGGAAAGAUUUAUCGGGGUUUGAUGAGCCCGCGUUGGAUUAGCUAGUUGGUGGGGUAAAGGCCUACCAAGGCGACGAUCCAUAGCUGGUCUGAGAGGAUGAUCAGCCACAUUGGGACUGAGACACGGCCCAAACUCCUACGGGAGGCAGCAGUGGGGAAUAUUGGACAAUGGGCGCAAGCCUGAUCCAGCCAUGCCGCGUGAGUGAUGAAGGCCCUAGGGUUGUAAAGCUCUUUCAACGGUGAAGAUAAUGACGGUAACCGUAGAAGAAGCCCCGGCUAACUUCGUGCCAGCCGCCGCAGUAA